CUACGGGGCGCUCCAGUGAGGAAUAUUGCACAAUGGGGGGAACCCUGAUGCAGCAACGCCGCGUGGAGGAUGACGCAUUUCGGUGUGUAAACUCCUUUUAUAUGUCAAGAAAAUGACGGAAGCAUAUGAAUAAGCACCGGCUAACUCCGUGCCAGCAGCCGCGGUAAUACGGAGGGUGCAAGCGUUACUCGGAAUCACUGGGCGUAAAGGACGCGUAGGCGGGUUGGAAAGUCAGGUGUGAAAUCCUACAGCUUAACUGUAGAACUGCACUUGAAACUUCUAAUCUAGAGUAUGGGAGGGGGAGAUGGAAUUAGUGGUGUAGGGGUAAGAUCCGUAGAUAUCACUAGGAAUACCUAAAGCGAAGGCGAUCUCCUGGAACAUUACUGACGCUAAGGCGUGAAAGCGUGGGGAGCAAACAGGAUUAGAUACCCCAGUAGUC
RNAcentral lists this ribosomal RNA (439 nucleotides) under uncultured bacterium. RNAcentral describes it as "partial 16S ribosomal RNA". It matches the Rfam family "Bacterial small subunit ribosomal RNA", at positions 339 to 795 of the family's 1533-position model. The record is from RNAcentral.